Molecule: ribosomal RNA, 208 nt
Filed under: uncultured bacterium
Lineage: Bacteria
Description: partial 16S ribosomal RNA
Rfam family: Bacterial small subunit ribosomal RNA
Source: RNAcentral
CCUUGGAGAGGGGAAUAACACAGAGAAAUUUGUUGCUAAUACCGCAUGAUGCAGUUGGGUCGCAUGGCUCUGACUGCCAAAGAUUUUAUCGCUCUGAGAUGGCCUCGCGUCUGAUUAGGUAGUUGGUGGGGCAACGGCUCACCAAGCCGACGAUCAGUAGCCGGACUGAGAGGUUGACCGGCCACAUUGGGACUGAGACACGGCCCAG